This 417-nucleotide ribosomal RNA is filed under the name uncultured bacterium. Its description in RNAcentral is "bacterial SSU rRNA". It matches the Rfam family "Bacterial small subunit ribosomal RNA", at positions 362 to 776 of the family's 1533-position model. The record is from RNAcentral.
UAUUGGUCAAUGGGCGGGAGCCUGAACCAGCCAAGUCGCGUGAGGGAAGACGGUCCUACGUGUUUUAAACCUCUUUUGCCGGGGAGCAACGGGGUCCUUGCGAGGGCCCAAUGAGAGUACCCGGAGACACAGCAUCAGCUCACUCCCUUCCAGCAGCCGCGGUAAUACGGAGGAUGCGAGCGUUAUCCGGAUUUAUUGGGUUUAAAGGGUGCGUAGGCGGGCUGUUAAGUCAGCGGUCAAAUGUCGGGGCUCAACCCCGGCCUGCCGUUGAAACUGGCGGCCUCGAGUGGGCGAGAAGUAUGCGGAAUGCGUGGUGUAGCGGUGAAAUGCAUAGAUAUCACGCAGAACUCCGAUUGCGAAGGCAGCAUACCGGCGCCCUACUGACGCUGAGGCACGAAAGCGUGGGUAUCGAACAGG